RNAcentral lists this ribosomal RNA (429 nucleotides) under Actinomycetes bacterium. Its description in RNAcentral is "Actinobacteria bacterium partial 16S ribosomal RNA". It matches the Rfam family "Bacterial small subunit ribosomal RNA", at positions 355 to 776 of the family's 1533-position model. The record is from RNAcentral. Lineage: Bacteria; Bacillati; Actinomycetota; Actinomycetes.
UAGGGAAUCUUCCGCAAUGGGCGAAAGCCUGACGGAGCAACGCCGCGUGAGUGAUGAAGGUCUUCGGAUCGUAAAACUCUGUUAUUAGGGAAGAACAAAUGUGUAAGUAACUAUGCACGUCUUGACGGUACCUAAUCAGAAAGCCACGGCUAACUACGUGCCAGCAGCCGCGGUAAUACGUAGGUGGCAAGCGUUAUCCGGAAUUAUUGGGCGUAAAGCGCGCGUAGGCGGUUUUUUAAGUCUGAUGUGAAAGCCCACGGCUCAAUCGUGGAGGGUCAUUGGAAACUGGAAAACUUGAGUGCAGAAGAGGAAAGUGGAAUUCCAUGUGUAGCGGUGAAAUGCGCAGAGGUAUGGAGGAACACCAGUGGCGAAGGCGACUUUCUGGUCUGUAACUGACGCUGAUGUGCGAAAGCGUGGGGAUCAAACAGG